Molecule: non-coding RNA, 331 nt
Organism: Equus caballus (horse)
Lineage: Eukaryota; Metazoa; Chordata; Mammalia; Perissodactyla; Equidae
Source: Rfam
GGAUGUGAGGGCGAUCUGGUUCCAACACCUGUCAUUCCAUUGAUUAUCAGGGUCGAUUUGGCUGAUCUGGCUGGCUAGGCAGGUGUCCCCUUCCUGCCUCACCAUUCCAUGUGUGUUCCUCCCAAGCUGUGCACUGGGUUGAAGAGGAGGAUCUUCUCCAAUAUAGGAGGAUAAUUCUUUGGUCAAGGAUAUACGAGUAGCUGCACUUUCCUACUGGAACCACCGAACAAGCUCUGUAAAAGUCUAUUUGUAGAAGAACAUAAGGCAGUCAAGCUUCCGAAUUCCAGACCCAUCCAAAUGAGGCACUGCCUAUGGCAAUUUGUCUUUCUUU